This is a long non-coding RNA of Pseudoliparis swirei, 4277 nucleotides long. RefSeq lists it as uncharacterized. Lineage: Eukaryota; Metazoa; Chordata; Actinopteri; Perciformes; Liparidae. The transcript has 3 exons. The record is from RefSeq and is a predicted model, not a curated record.
UGCUCUGCAGACCGGAUGAGCGUCUUCUUUCUGCAAAAGACAAAAGGCGUCUUUGAAUUUCACCGCAUCCCAAAUCUAGGGAUGACACUGAGGUGACGAAGAACAGCGACACAGCAACAGUCAAGUCAGACACGGGCGAUUGGGGAUUGUUUGCUCGAGGGCCUCGAGGAAGCCGGAUAACGACCAACGCUCCACCUGGCUUGAUCCUGACUAACUGCGGGAAGUAUCGCAGUGAGGUUUGGCAAACAUGUUAUUAUUCAGUUAGAGGAGCUCGAUACGACAUUCAGAGCAAUAACCAGGAUUUGAGUUCCCAUUGAAAGCUUCUUUAAAUAAGUAAUGUGUUUCAUUUAUUUAAACCCACAUAAUUACCCCCUUGCUCCGCGGUUCUCUUCCGCUCCAUAUACCUUUUUAUUACAGCAGAAGAAAUGUGCUUAUUACAUUGUCUUGUCGAGAGUUAUCGACCAAAUAAUGGAUCCCGCGUUUUUUUUCUGGCCGCUAAUUAUGAAGCUAUGACCCGCAGCCUGGGAAAAGUCCCAGAGUGUCAUUCACAAUGACCACUGGGGGCAGCAAACGCACCUUUUGGCAGCUGCUCUGACAGUAAAGCAGGGGGGGUUGUAAAGAUACACCGCGUAUACACCACGUUCAAAAGUUUGGUGUCACUUAGAAAUAUCCUUAUUUUUCAAAGCACUGUUUUCUUCAAUGACGAUAACAUUAAAUGAAUCAUAAAUCCUCUCUACAUAGUUAAUGUGUACAUGACUAUUCUCUGGUGUUAAUGAAGUCUCUACAGAGGUGUCUAGAGUCCCGUCUCCAUGUUCUAAUGCUACAUUGUGUUAUUGCCUUAGAAGACUAGCGGAGGGGUAGAAAACCCUUGAAAACCCUUUUUAUGUGAGCGCAGCUGAAAACAGUUAUGCUGCUGAGAGAAGCUUUAACACUGGCCUUCCUUUGAGCCACAAGAAGAACAACAUUAAUAUUUACUAUAAAAAUCAUUAUUUAUAACCUCGUCAACGUCUUGACUAUAUUUUAUAUUCAUUUGAUAAAUAAAAGUGUGAUUUUUCAUGGGAAACACGAAAUUCUCUUGGUGACCCCAAACUUUUGAAUGGUACUGCAUAUAUAUAUAUAUAUAUAUAUAUAUAUAUAUAUAUAUAAGUUUGUCUUUAACUUUGGUUCCUUUUAAAAACAUGACCUUUAGCUGCUGGGAACUCAUACGCUGAUUAAGUCAUACCCACCAUUAUCUUCCAAAAAACACCCCGGUCCCAGAUACUGAUGUUUUUCCUGCAAGACAGAGGGCUGCAGUGUUUUUGGCGUGGCUGUCAUGGCUACUGCCGCGCUCCUCAGAGAAUAUUGUGGCUCCGAGACCUGGAUCUGUAGUCUUUAAUCCAAACCGUUUACAGACACAGAGAACAAAGCGUUGCCUUUAUUCAAACUCCAAAAACAGGGGUAUUAUAUAUCCCCCUCGCUCCUCUCUGUUCCCAGCUAAAAAUGGUUUGUGCAGAAUGGAAGCCAGCUCGUAAUUUACUGGCUUUAAGUCACGUCUCUGCCUAUUUGCAGAUCUCAGUAACGGGGAAGGGGGGGGGGGGGUAGAGUCCGAGAGACUCUGCAGACGAGUAAGAAAAUGUAUCGUCAAACAACUGGACUGCUCGGCUCACAUUAAGAUAAUCAGUCAUGGGACUGAGAGGGAAUUAAGUGAGAUGAGGGGGAAAAAAGUACAAUAUGUACGAUGCAAUGUCAUCCAAAUAUGCUGUUAGCGUAAUUGUGGCGGCGCUGGUGGCCUUUCAGCGGAGGAAUGUAUGGAAACCACCAGCUCACGUUACAGUGUAAGUGAAUGAUGUUAUAUAUAGUAAAAUUGCGGCCUCUUUAAUCGUAAAAAAAAUGUCAUUUGAAUGUAUUCCUUUAAAUGUUAAAGUAAGAUGUGGAUUUUUUUAUAAUUUGGUAAAGACGGCUGCAAGUAUUUAUGCUAAGCUAAGCCAACCGGUUUCAUAUUUAGCACAAAGCAUCAAGCAUCAAGAUGCGUCAAACCAAACGACGUGGUUGGGUUCAGGAAGACGUAGAGGUGGCAGAUUAAAACAGGUGAGUUUGUUUUUGGUAAAUGAAGUUGAGGAAGUCAAAGUUGACUCAAACAGCGGUCUCCUGGGUUCAAGUCUUUAGCAGUCACUCUUUGUACUACUUUGUCUGGCUUACUUGCAGCUGGGCGGACAUGAGAGUGACUUGAAAGGGGAUGUUUCUCUAACAGUGUCAAAUUAUAAGGAAAUGGCAGACGGCUGCCAGUAUACUGAUAGCAUUUAUGCUAAGCUAAGCUAGCCGGUUCCCGUCAGCGGCUUCAUAUUUAGCAUAAAGCAAUCUGUUCUUAGUCCAGCGUGUCUCCUAAUAAAGCUGAAGGGCGCCUUGUGCGUUGGAAUCAAACCUCGGAAAGCUGGUCCGAAGUUUCGGUAGAAAAUGGCCGCCUGUAAACAACUUUUAAAAAAGGACGUUCCAAUACGACAAAUCUGACAAUCGCAUUGCGAGGGAAACAGAUUUUCACCCUGAUUACCUUUGCUUUCGAUGUUCACGUAGUCGGGAUGUCACGGGACUUUCACCCAGGAGGCCUUCGUCCCGGGUGAAACCCAAAGUCAACGCUGACUGUAUUUUGAUUUACUUCUAAAAUAUAAAUAACAAAACCAACUUAAACUUGAUGUUUUAGAAAAACUUACCAAGUAGAAAUGUCUUCUAAAGAUGACCAAGCAGCUUUUCAUUGUUUCCAUACACAACAUUAACAUCGCGUUUAUUUUUAAACGUAAUUAGGAACGCAGUUCAGUGGCCUCGGAACGCCAUUUUGUCGGGAUGGUUUGUCACAAAGACGCCGGGGGGACAUCGAUCUGCUCAUCUCCGCUAACUCUCAAAAAGGAAUGGACGUCAUCACACGGAUCUACACGGCGUGCGAUUGUGCCGGACUUCCUGUUUGGUUCAUAACUCCGUUCACAGCCCCACAACAACAACAACAACAACAACAACAACAAGCUGUUUCAUGAGGCAGCGCUGAGGUAAGUGGAGAAGCAGAAAGGCCUCAUUGUUGUUAUUCAUACCCGCCUCUACCUUCAUUGGGCCUUUUAUUCAAUCCGACACGUUUGAAUUAAAGUCUCAUAACUCGACCGUGUGGCUGUAAACUAGUUUGAGGAAAUCACAACAAAUGUAAUUUUGACUUAUAAGCAGCAUCCUCUCUGGACGUCGUGCACGUCGUCCUGCAGCAGCCCGAAGCCCUGAAGCGACACCCCAGUGGCUCCAUUUUUUUAACGUGCCCAAAGUUUCCCUGAGCUCAGCCUCUCUGACCUUUUACCCAAAGUCCUACAGAACCGGGUUUGUUCGAGUCCCUAAGAGAAAAAAAAGAGAGAAAAAGAAACAACAUGUUCGAGCCAGAUGUUGUUCCUUUGCUUCUUUCCACACACUCGUAAAAAUGAAAAGAAUAAUAAAUAAAUGUGUGUGAUGACAUCAGAACGUGCUUGUUGUUUGCGCAGAGGGUUUAUCAUGGGACCGGAUCCACAGACCCGGAUCCGUCUCAGCCCACCAGGUUCCACAAGGAGCUCCUUCACUGAGCCUCCUUGACUCCUCUCCUCUGUCAGCAUCCUUGCGCCCUCUUUUAGUCGCUCGGACCCGGCUCCAGCUGUUCAGUCCCGUCGACAUUUCUUCAAUUUGCAACGAAAAGAAAGUGCCAAAUUUUGGGUUGCAAUCCAUCACCGUCACGACCACGUCACCGGUGUUACGACCACGUCGUUAUCGCAGUAGCGUGAGCAGCGUCCCCGAUGGUGCAUUCAAGGACAUGGCGCUGUGGACCGUUUACACCCGUUCCCAAAAAAGGAGGCCUGGUGUGCAGCUUGUCCAGGAGCUUGUGCUCGUUAGUGUGAUGAAUACACCAGAACUAUUCCACAUGUAUAUGAGCUGAAGCCGCUCUGACCAACACUGUGAGUGGAUCAGAGGACCAUGUGCCGGGUGACAGCUGCAGAACACUGGUGGUCUGUUGGUGUCAUAAUAAUUAUCUAAUCCAGUGGUUCUCAACCUUUUAUUCAGUGAUGUACCGCAUGUGAACUAUUUAUUUUCUCAGCCCAGUACCCUUUGACUACCGCAAAGCAUUGUGGGUUGAACUUUUUUUUAAUAUGCAGCAUUUUGCCAUCAAUGUCAGAUUUAAUAUAUAAUAUAUACAAUUCAGUUCAUGAAUUUACACUUAUAUAUUUUAUUGAAUAUUUAUAAAAUAAUUAUUUUAAAAGGCUUUUUUAAUUGAUUCUCAUUUUAAAUGUAUUUAAAACAAA